RNAcentral lists this ribosomal RNA (492 nucleotides) under uncultured bacterium. Its description in RNAcentral is "partial 16S ribosomal RNA". It matches the Rfam family "Bacterial small subunit ribosomal RNA", at positions 29 to 507 of the family's 1533-position model. The record is from RNAcentral.
AGUGAACGCUGGCGGUAGGCCUAACACAUGCAAGUCGAACGGCAGCACAGUAAGAGCUUGCUCUUACGGGUGGCGAGUGGCGGACGGGUGAGGAAUACAUCGGAAUCUACUUUUUCGUGGGGGAUAACGUAGGGAAACUUACGCUAAUACCGCAUACGACCUACGGGUGAAAGCAGGGGAUCUUCGGACCUUGCGCGAUUGAAUGAGCCGAUGUCGGAUUAGCUAGUUGGCGGGGUAAAGGCCCACCAAGGCGACGAUCCGUAGCUGGUCUGAGAGGAUGAUCAGCCAAACUGGAACUGAGACCCGGUCCAGACUCCUACGGGAGGCAGCAGUGGGGAAUAUUGGACAAUGGGCGCAAGCCUGAUCCAGCCAUACCGCGUGGGUGAAGAAGGCCUUCGGGUUGUAAAGCCCUUUUGUUGGGAAAGAAAAGCAGCAGGUUAAUACCCCGCUGUUCUGACGGUACCCAAAGAAUAAGCACCGGCUAACUUCGUG